UUGGUGAUGUCUUGUGUGAACGUCGCGAGGACAGCAGGCUUCCUCUUCAUGCUGAAGAGUGUGAACGCACUGGGCGUGCUGUUCACACAAGGACUGUGCACGUCUCGCGUCUCUGUCGGGUCAAACGUGCUGCACGCCUC
Molecule: long non-coding RNA, 140 nt
Organism: Thalassophryne amazonica
Lineage: Eukaryota; Metazoa; Chordata; Actinopteri; Batrachoidiformes; Batrachoididae
Exons: 3
Source: RefSeq, a predicted model, not a curated record